Long non-coding RNA from Canis lupus familiaris (dog), 2463 nucleotides. RefSeq lists it as uncharacterized. The transcript is spliced from 3 exons. NCBI's taxonomy places the organism in Eukaryota, Metazoa, Chordata, Mammalia, Carnivora, Canidae. The record is from RefSeq and is a predicted model, not a curated record.
GGAAGGUUGAUGGGUACACUGGGAGUCCUGGAAAAUUAUGACUGGAGAUUGGGGGUGUUUCAGGAAAAUAGGUUGCAUUCUGGGGUUGUCUCUUAGAAUAUGGACCUUUCUGGCACCCUGGAGACCUCCAGAUGACUGGGGUUUGCUCUGGAAGAUAAGGGGUCCCCGGAUCAUUAAGAAGUUUGGAAGGCGGUGUGGCAGACUGCUGGGACCCUGAGAUCUAGGCCUGGCUGGGAACCACGUCUGGCCCCCUCCCCCAAGAUGUGGAGGUCCUCAGAAGUCUGACUGGAGCAUCCCUGGGCUCACUGCCCUGCAGCCGCCCACCUUGAGCACCAGUUUGCUGGCAAAGUAGAAGAGGGCAACAACCCGGCCCCAGUUGAAGUUGCCAUCAGAAAACAUCUCAGCUGCCACUCGGAAGAAGACCUCACGGGGAGAGUCUGUGUCCACAGCUGCGAUCAUCCUGCAGGAAAGAGGAAAGACAGUGCUGUAGAGGGAAGAUCAAGCAGUGUGGAGACUCUGGCAUCCACCUUGUACCAAAGACAAGGAAACUGAGGCCCAAGCCAGGCUGACAUGAAAAAGAAGGGGCCAACAUGGGGGAAAGGGACAAGAUGGACAUUUAGGAAAGUGGAGAAAAUGAGUCCCUAAGGGAAGGUUUCAAUAUUCUGAAAGAUGGGCUGAGUCCAGGGUGCUGAGUAGAGGUGGUGGGGCCCUGGACUAUUGGGUCUGCGGGAAUAGGAGGGUGUGGGUCUGAACUCCAGGCUCCUAGGGGAAAAGGGGUCUGAGAGUCAGAACUCCAGGGUUCUGAGGGAGAAGGGGACCAAUGGCUGGACUCCUGGGGCCCCGGGGGGCCACACCUCUGCAACUCCAUGUUACUGUCCAGUUCAUCUCCGAUGCGCUUGAGACAUUCGCUCAGCUUCUUGGUGGAUGCAUCCUGGGGCACCUGCUCCAAGGGCAGCUCAGGUGUCUCUCCCCCCAUUCGCCCUGCUCGAUCUUGGAUGAAACUAGAGUGGGAAUGGAGUGGGAGGGGUGCAGAAUCAGAAUGGGGCAUCACUCCUGAAAUCCGCUCAGCAAUAAUCACACCUCAAACUCACCCCUGAAGCAAAAGGGCCCCUGUCUUCAUGAUCUGCUCAGAGCUGGUGGGCCCUAGAGGAGAAAGGAGGGAAGAGGUGCCUGGACUCUUGGGUCCUAGGGGACCCAGCGAACUAGGGUGGCUCAUGAUCUCAGAGGGAGGACAACACUAGAGGGUCCUGUAUUUCUGGGUUCCUGGUAGAUACUGAGGCUAGGGGCCCGGACCAUGAGUCCCUGAUGGAGAAAAAGGCAGGGAGCCUAGGCCUGUAUCCUACGUUCUUCUGGCGGAGGAGGCUGAGGGAACGCUUCAUGCAUCCCAGACCCCUGGCCUGAGGGGGCAGAGGAGAGACCCGCCCCUCCCACCAGGAAGUGGUGCCGGCGACAAGCCCGGGCCUGCCCCGGGGGCUUGGACUCUGGGGUCUCCAGGUUCUCGGGGGUCCGAGGACACCAGGCAAGAAGGAAUCGGGGCACGGAGGCCAGAGAGCCAGGAACCCCCGGGGAGGGAGGGGGCUGGAAGCUGGCAGCGCCCGAUCCGGGAGUUUCUGCCCGGGAGUGCUUGGAGAUCGCACGGCCCCAGACCGGCAGGAGAGAUCGUGGGGCCGGCCGGCGAGGGGGCUCGCCCUCCUCCCGCCCGUCUGCCUCCCGCCUCACCCCCGCCUCUGGGUUGCUCCCCGGACCCGUCCAUCACCGCCGCUCCCGCCGCCGCCUCUCGCCGGGUCCGCCCGGGCGGCCGCAGCACGCCCCUCGUCACGUGACCGCCCCGCUGAGCGUGCGUCCUCUCACGUGAUCGCCCCGCAAAAUGGUGGCCGCGCGCUGUCGCCCCGCAGAGCCGUCCGGUCACGUGACCGCACCUGCCUCACCUGCCUGGGGAAGCCUCGGCCCCUAUCGCUUGACGGUCCAAGCCGCCCUUCCUAGUAGGAACCGGGUAGUGGCGCCGUUCUACCGGCCACUAGAUGGAUGGCGGCUGUGACUUUCAUUCGUUUGUGCAGUAUUUUCGGAAGUUUCUGGUGGGCUUUGAGCCCUCCCCAGGGCAGAAGGAACAUCGAAGGCCAAAAAUAUCGUUUACUGAGGCAGGACGUUUCAGAUGAUGAAAGUCUGUGAGUUGUUUUUGUGAAAAUAAAGGGAACAUGAAGUUCAAAAAGUGGCAAAACUAAUCUGUGGUGAUAGAUUGGCAGGGUAUGAGCAAGGAGGGGCCCCCAGACAGGCACCCUGGGGCAUGAACCGAGCCAUGUCUUCAUCUAGGUGAUGAUUACUUGGGUAUGCGCAUGUGGAAAAACUCAUGCAGCUAUGCAUGUGAAAUGUGCCCUUUACUGCAUGGAAAUUAUAUCUCUUUUUAGAAAGAAAAGAGGGGGACGCCGGGGUGGCUCAGUGGUUGAGCGUAGGCCUUUGGCUCAG